GUAGGGCGGUCCAUGUGAGUGGUUAUGUGAAAGCCCCCGGGGUUUAACCUGGGAAGCGCAUGGCAAACUAUAUGACUGGAGUAUGGGAGAGGGUGGGCGGAAUUUCCGGUGUAGCGGUGAAAUGCGUAGAGAUCGGAAGGAACGUCGAUGGCGAAGGCAGCCACCUGGCCUAAUACUGACGCUGAGGCGCGAAAGCGUGGGGAGCGAACAGGAUUAGAUACCCUGGUAGUCCACGCUGUAAACGAUGAAGACUAGAUGCUGGGAGGGAGACCUUUUAGUAUCGAAGCUAACGCGAUAAGUCUUCCGCCUGGGAAGUACAGCCGCAAGGUUGAAACUCAAAGGAAUUGACGGGGGCCCGCACAAGCGGUGGAGCAUGUGGUUUAAUUCGAUGCAACGCGAAGAACCUUACCUACCCUUGACAUCCUGCGAAUCUGACUGAGAGGUUGGAGUGCCGAAAGGAACGCAGAGACAGGUGCUGCAUGGCUGUCGUCAGCUCGUGUUGUGAGAUGUUGGGUUAAGUCCCGUAACGAGCGCAACCCUUGUCCUUAGUUACCAGCAUUCAGUUGGGGACUCUAAGGAGACUGCCGGUGAGGAACCGGAGGAAGGCGGGGACGACGUCAAGUCAUCAUGACCUUUAUGGGUAGGGCUACACACGUGCUACAAUGGGUCGUACAGAGGGAAGCCAACCCGCGAGGGGGAGCCAAUCUCAUAAAGCGACUCGUAGUCCGGAUUGGAGUCUGCAACUCGACUCCAUGAAGUCGGAAUCGCUAGUAAUCGCGAAUCAGCAUUGUCGCGGUGAAUACGUUCCCGGGCCUUGUACACACCGCCCGUCACGUCAUGGGAGUGGACGGUACCAGAAGCGGAUAGUUUAACUGAGGAGAAAUCUGAGGGUGACGUUUGCCACGGUAUGGUUCAUGACUGGGACGA
RNAcentral lists this ribosomal RNA (927 nucleotides) under uncultured bacterium. Its description in RNAcentral is "bacterial SSU rRNA". It matches the Rfam family "Bacterial small subunit ribosomal RNA", at positions 571 to 1483 of the family's 1533-position model. The record is from RNAcentral.